RNAcentral lists this ribosomal RNA (460 nucleotides) under Psychrobacter sp. R-39101. RNAcentral's name for it is "bacterial SSU rRNA". It matches the Rfam family "Bacterial small subunit ribosomal RNA", at positions 19 to 475 of the family's 1533-position model. The record is from RNAcentral. Lineage: Bacteria; Pseudomonadati; Pseudomonadota; Gammaproteobacteria; Moraxellales; Moraxellaceae.
CUGGCUCAGAUUGAACGCUGGCGGCAGGCUUAACACAUGCAAGUCGAGCGGAAACGAURGUAGCUUGCUACUAGGCGUCGAGCGGCGGACGGGUGAGUAAUACUUAGGAAUCUACCUAGUAGUGGGGGAUAGCUCGGGGAAACUCGAAUUAAUACCGCAUACGACCUACGGGAGAAAGGGGGCAGUUUACUGCUCUCGCUAUUAGAUGAGCCUAAGUCGGAUUAGCUAGAUGGUGGGGUAAAGGCCUACCAUGGCGACGAUCUGUAGCUGGUCUGAGAGGAUGAUCAGCCACACCGGGACUGAGACACGGCCCGGACUCCUACGGGAGGCAGCAGUGGGGAAUAUUGGACAAUGGGCGAAAGCCUGAUCCAGCCAUGCCGCGUGUGUGAAGAAGGCCUUUUGGUUGUAAAGCACUUUAAGCAGUGAAGAAGACUCCAUGGUUAAUACCCGUGGACGAUGA